This 204-nucleotide ribosomal RNA is filed under the name uncultured bacterium. RNAcentral describes it as "partial 16S ribosomal RNA". It matches the Rfam family "Bacterial small subunit ribosomal RNA", at positions 1288 to 1500 of the family's 1533-position model. The record is from RNAcentral.
UCAGUUCGGAUUGGAGCUGNAACCCGACUCCAUGAAGCUGGAUUCGCUAGUAAUCGCGCAUCAGCCACGGCGCGGUGAAUACGUUCCCGGGCCUUGUACACACCGCCCGUCAAGCCAUGGAAGCCGGGAGUGCCUGAAGUGCGUGAGCGCAAGCAGCGCCCUAAGGUAAAACCGGUGACUGGGGCUAAGUCGUAACAAGGUAUC